GAUGAACGCUGGCGGCGUGCCUAAUACAUGCAAGUCGAGCGAACAGAUGAGGAGCUUGCUCCUCUGACGUUAGCGGCGGACGGGUGAGUAACACGUGGAUAACCUACCUAUAAGACUGGGAUAACUUCGGGAAACCGGAGCUAAUACCGGAUAAUAUAUUGAACCGCAUGGUUCAAUAGUGAAAGACGGUUUUGCUGUCACUUAUAGAUGGAUCCGCGCCGCAUUAGCUAGUUGGUAAGGUAACGGCCUACCAAGGCAACGAUGCGUAGCCGACCUGAGAGGGUGGUCGGCCACACUGGAACUGAGACACGGUCCAGACUCCUACGGGAGGCAGCAGUAGGGAAUCUUCCGCAAUGGGCGAAAGCCUGACGGAGCAACGCCGCGUGAGUGAUGAAGGUCUUCGGAUCGUAAAACUCUGUUAUUAGGGAAGAACAAAUGUGUAAGUAACUAUGCACGUCUUGACGGUACCUAAUCAGAAAGCCACGGCUAACUACGUG
Molecule: ribosomal RNA, 497 nt
Filed under: uncultured bacterium
Lineage: Bacteria
Description: partial 16S ribosomal RNA
Rfam family: Bacterial small subunit ribosomal RNA
Source: RNAcentral